Molecule: ribosomal RNA, 532 nt
Filed under: uncultured bacterium
Lineage: Bacteria
Description: bacterial SSU rRNA
Rfam family: Bacterial small subunit ribosomal RNA
Source: RNAcentral
CCUGGCCUUGACAUUGAAAGAACACUUUAGAGAUAGAGUGGUGCUAGUUUACUAGAGCUUGAAAACAGGUGCUGCACGGCUGUCGUCAGCUCGUGUCGUGAGAUGUUGGGUUAAGUCCCGCAACGAGCGCAACCCUCGUGUCUAGUUGCUAACAGUUCGGCUGAGGACUCUAGACAGACUGCCUGGGCAACCAGGAGGAAGGUGAGGACGACGUCAAGUCAUCAUGGCCCUUACGGCCAGGGCUACACACGUGCUACAAUGGGGUAUACAAAGAGCAGCGAUACCGCGAGGUGGAGCAAAUCUCAUAAAAUAUCUCCCAGUUCGGAUUGUACUCUGCAACUCGAGUGCAUGAAGUUGGAAUCGCUAGUAAUCGUAGAUCAGCAAUGCUACGGUGAAUACGUUCCCGGGUCUUGUACUCACCGCCCGUCACACCAUGGGAGUUGAAUUCAUUCGAAGCGGGGAUGCUAAACUGGCUACCCUCCACAGUGGAUUUAGUAACUAGGGUGAAGUCGUAACAAGGUAAAGCCGAAUU